This is a long non-coding RNA of Pieris napi, 537 nucleotides long. RefSeq lists it as uncharacterized. The record is from RefSeq and is a predicted model, not a curated record. NCBI's taxonomy places the organism in Eukaryota, Metazoa, Arthropoda, Insecta, Lepidoptera, Pieridae. The transcript has 3 exons.
UCUUACUAAUAAAAAAUCACUAUACAUGCGUUAUGACAAGGUGACAGUAAUUCAGUGAAUAGAGCUUGUACAGGGCAUAAACACCUCUUUGACCAAUAAUCGAUGUGUAUUGGUUGAAUAACAAAACGACCCUUAUUUAUUGUUACCCUGGCAACCCGCCGUGUUUGAUUGACGUUUGAUUUAAUAAUUUUGAUACAACUCAUAAUUCUAAUCUAAUAGAAACUCCAAAACCUCAGACAAAGAGGACUAGAAUUUUACAUAAAAAGCCACGUUCUGCAGUACAAAAGUUAGAAGAGGCAUCUCAAAUAGUGGAAAGUGCCAAACUCCGCAACACGGUAGUGUUCCAGUGUUUCCAGGAAGAGCACGAAACAAAACAAAGGCAGAUGGCUGAAACACAUGAGCUCAAACAGAAGCGACUCGCCGAAGCUCACGAAAGGGCUAGACAGAAGCAUCUUCUAAGGCUCAAAUUGUUACAGCAGCAAUUAAAUAAAUAAUUAUAUACUUAUAAAAAAAAUAAAACCCCCGUUUUAAAUGAAA